AUUGAACGCUGGCGGAAUGCUUUACACAUGCAAGUCGAACGGCAGCACGGGGCAACCUGGUGGCGAGUGGCGAACGGGUGAGUAAUACAUCGGAACGUGCCCAAUCGUGGGGGAUAACGUAGCGAAAGUUACGCUAAUACCGCAUACGAUCUACGGAUGAAAGCGGGGGAUCGCAAGACCUCGCGCGAAUGGAGCGGCCGAUGUCAGAUUAGGUAGUUGGUGGGGUAAAGGCUCACCAAGCCAACGAUCUGUAGCUGGUCUGAGAGGACGACCAGCCACACUGGAACUGAGACACGGUCCAGACUCCUACGGGAGGCAGCAGUGGGGAAUUUUGGACAAUGGGCGCAAGCCUGAUCCAGCAAUGCCGCGUGCAGGAUGAAGGCC
Molecule: ribosomal RNA, 384 nt
Filed under: uncultured bacterium
Lineage: Bacteria
Description: bacterial SSU rRNA
Rfam family: Bacterial small subunit ribosomal RNA
Source: RNAcentral